GUGGCCAUAGCUCAGUUGGUAGAGCACCGGAUUGUGAUUCCGGUUGUCGCGGGUUCAAGCCCCGUUGGCCACCCCA
RNAcentral lists this transfer RNA (76 nucleotides) under Bdellovibrionales bacterium RIFCSPHIGHO2_01_FULL_40_29. RNAcentral's name for it is "tRNA-His". It matches the Rfam family "tRNA". Rfam says of the family: Transfer RNA (tRNA) molecules are approximately 80 nucleotides in length. RNAcentral also lists the same sequence under 1 other name. The record is from RNAcentral. Lineage: Bacteria; Pseudomonadati; Bdellovibrionota; Bdellovibrionia; Bdellovibrionales.